Molecule: long non-coding RNA, 238 nt
Filed under: Capsicum annuum
Lineage: Eukaryota; Viridiplantae; Streptophyta; Magnoliopsida; Solanales; Solanaceae
Description: long non-coding RNA (CANN_LNC011458)
Source: RNAcentral
UGAAAUUGGUUAAGCUGAGAAAAGUUGUUGGGCUGAGCUUACAUACUAAACAUGCAUAUUUUAUGCAUGUAAUGCAUGACUGAAUUGAUUUAUAAAUGCAUGAUUGACAUGAACAUGAUGUGCAACUAAAACUGAGUAUGAUAGAGAGAAAUCUUACGAAUAUUGGUUCCUUAUACUGAAUCUGAAUUCGAGGAGAAAAGAUGAGGGUACUUGGUUUGCAUAUCUACUUCUGCUUCCC